This 148-nucleotide small RNA is filed under the name Pongo abelii (Sumatran orangutan). RNAcentral's name for it is "Metazoan signal recognition particle RNA (ENSPPYG00000035794.1)". Lineage: Eukaryota; Metazoa; Chordata; Mammalia; Primates; Hominidae. The record is from Rfam by way of RNAcentral.
GCUGGGUGUGGUGGCGUGCACCUGUACUCCCAGCUACUCUGGAGGCUGAGGUGGGAGGAUUACUUGGGCCUGGGAGGUUGAGGCUGCAGUGAGCGGUGAUUGUGCCACUGCACUCUAGCCUGGGUGACAGAGCAAGAGCCUGUCUCAA